RNAcentral lists this ribosomal RNA (266 nucleotides) under uncultured bacterium. RNAcentral's name for it is "partial 16S ribosomal RNA". It matches the Rfam family "Bacterial small subunit ribosomal RNA", at positions 57 to 305 of the family's 1533-position model. The record is from RNAcentral.
GCAAGUCGAACGAGAAAGGGAUUGCUUGCAAUCCUGAGUAGAGUGGCGCACGGGUGAGUAACACGUAGAUAAUCUACCCUCAAGCCCGGGAUAACUAUUCGAAAGGAUAGCUAAUACCGGAUGAAGUGAUUUAGCAUAAGUUAAAUCAUGAAAGAUUGCCUCUUCUUGAAAGCAAUUGUUUGGGGAUGAGUCUGCGGACCAUUAGCUUGUUGGUGGGGUAAAGGCCUACCAAGGCUGCGAUGGUUAGCUGGUCUGAGAGGAUGAUC